Molecule: long non-coding RNA, 544 nt
Organism: Aethalodelphis obliquidens (Pacific white-sided dolphin)
Lineage: Eukaryota; Metazoa; Chordata; Mammalia; Artiodactyla; Delphinidae
Exons: 2
Source: RefSeq, a predicted model, not a curated record
UUUAAGGACUUACCCAGAAAAGUUUAAGGAAGGAAUAUGACACAUAAAGGAGAGGAUGAGGCUAAGAAGCCAUUUUCCCAUGGAGGGGAAACCAGCUGAACUGAAAGGCAGCUCUGGGUGUGAUGGGCCACAAAACAUACCAGGGAGCAGCUGCCACCUCCUUGCCGGCAUCUCCUUUCCACCAGCCCCUUUCCCACUAGACAAAGAUUCCGGAUGAGUGGGAGGUUAACUUUCUUUUGUCCAGUGAGAGAGGAGCACCUCCGAGGCAUCAAACGAAGGGAUCAUUAGAAAUACUAUUGGGUAGGUAUCGAAAAAACGAUGUGUCUAAUAACAGGAUUACAAAUCCCUCGUGAGUCAAAUGGUUUCCAAUCCUUUGCUUUCAGAAUAAUUGGAGGGGGACAUAACCAGGUUGCCAGCUAACACCUCAUUAAGCAUCAUUUUUGAUCAUUCAUAAAAAGGUUUUUUAUGUAUGACUCAGAAGGAAUUUCACAAACUGAGUGGGAUUACGGCAACAAAACUCCACCCAUUCCCAUCGACUUGUCUG